AUUGAACGCUGGCGGAAUGCUUUACACAUGCAAGUCGAACGGCAGCACGGGGGCAACCCUGGUGGCGAGUGGCGAACGGGUGAGUAAUACAUCGGAACGUGCCCAAUCGUGGGGGAUAACGUAGCGAAAGCUACGCUAAUACCGCAUACGAUCUACGGAUGAAAGCGGGGGAUCGCAAGACCUCGCGCGAAUGGAGCGGCCGAUGGCAGAUUAGGUAGUUGGUGGGGUAAAGGCUCACCAAGCCAACGAUCUGUAGCUGGUCUGAGAGGACGACCAGCCACACUGGGACUGAGACACGGCCCAGACUCCUACGGGAGGCAGCAGUGGGGAAUUUUGGACAAUGGGCGAAAGCCUGAUCCAGCCAUUCCGCGUGCAGGAUGAAGGCCUC
Molecule: ribosomal RNA, 388 nt
Filed under: uncultured bacterium
Lineage: Bacteria
Description: bacterial SSU rRNA
Rfam family: Bacterial small subunit ribosomal RNA
Source: RNAcentral